GCCCCGGUAGUAUAGCCAUGCGAAGAGCACUAGAACGGUCAAGUAUACCGGCCUUUCGAGCCGGCGACCCGGGUUCAAAUCCCGGCCGGGGCA
This 93-nucleotide transfer RNA is filed under the name Thermoprotei archaeon. Its description in RNAcentral is "tRNA-Glu". It matches the Rfam family "tRNA". From Rfam's summary of the family: Transfer RNA (tRNA) molecules are approximately 80 nucleotides in length. The record is from RNAcentral. Lineage: Archaea; Thermoproteati; Thermoproteota; Thermoprotei.